RNAcentral lists this long non-coding RNA (1065 nucleotides) under Homo sapiens (human). RNAcentral's name for it is "HSALNT0121322". The record is from RNAcentral. Lineage: Eukaryota; Metazoa; Chordata; Mammalia; Primates; Hominidae.
GAAUAAAGUCAGGUCACGGAGCCAGCAGCGGCAACCCGCUGGGGUCUCCGUUUCAGGCUGUGGAAGCUUUGUUGUUUCAGUCUUUGCAAUAAAUCUUGCUGCUGUUCACCCUUUGGGUUUGUGCGGCUUUUAUGAGCUGUAACACUCCCCGAGAAGGUCUGCAGUUCCACUCCUGAAGCCAGCGAGACUGGGAACCCACUGGGAGGGAGGAACAACUCCAGACGGGAGACACGAACAACUCUGGACGCGCCAUCUUUAUGAACCGUAAAAGUCACUGCGAGGGUCUGCGGCUUCAUUCUUGAAGUCAGCGAGACCAAGAACCCACCAAUUCCGGACACGAUCUGACUUAUCCUUGUAUGUGCUAAACUCAGUCUCUACCCACAAGUGGAUUUGUAACUGGUUAAUCUGUCCAUUGGGAAUGUUUACUGUGGGCCUACCAUGUACCAGGGACUACACCAUGCUAGGAAGACCUGCAUAGAGUUUACAGCUGGUCCUAGGCGAUGCUGAUGCUGCAGGCCCAAGGAUCACACCUGGAGAAGCAUGGACACCUUGUUGUAAACAGAAGAUCUACUGCUGACCACAAGCUAGCAGCCAUGAGCUAUGGCUGAUGUAAGGAAGGACACAGAAGAACAGACCAGCCAGGGUAAACUGGGGAUAUGCAGUGGGCACAGGUGAGAGAGAGGAGUUUGGCGGCACUGGUUUCCCAAGACACAGGACACAAGACCCCUCCAAUAAAACAGGAUGCAGUAGAGAAGCUGAGCAAAACCUACCAAAACCAAGAAGGCAACAGAAGUGGCCUCUGGUUACCCUUGCUGCUCAUUAUAUGCUAAUUAUAACACACUAGCAGGCAAAAAGGCACUCCCACCAGUGCCAUGAGGGUUUACAAAUGCCAUGGCAACCUGGCACCCCAAUCCCCACCCCCAAUAAAUUACCCGGAAAACUCAUGAAUAAUCCACACUUUGUUUAGCGUAUGAUCAAGAAAUAAAUCAUAAAAAUAGCCAACCAGCAGCCCUCAAGGCUGCCUUGCCUAUGGAGUAGGCACGUUUUUAUUGCAUUACUUUCUUA